AACGAACGCUGGCGGCAUGCCUAACACAUGCAAGUCGAACGAGACCUUCGGGCUUAGUGGCGCACGCGUGCGUAACGCGUUGGAACCUGCCUUUAGGUUUGGCAUAACUCAGAGAAAUUUGAGCUAAUACCGGAUGAUAUCUUCGGACCAAAGAUUUAUCGCCUUUAGAUGGGCCCGCGUUGGAUUAGCUAGUUGUUGGGGUAAAGGCCUACCAAGGCGUGGAUCCAUAGCUGGUCUGAGAGGAUGAUCAGCCACACUGGGGCUGAGACACGGCCCAGACUCCUGCGGGAGGCAGCAGUGGGGGAUAUUGGACAAUGGGCGAAAGGCUGAUCCAGCAAUGACGGGUGAGUGAUGAAGGCCUUAGGGUUGUAAAGCUCUUUUACCCGAGAUGAUAAUGACAGUAUCGGGAGAAUAAGCUCCGGCUAACUCCGUG
RNAcentral lists this ribosomal RNA (433 nucleotides) under uncultured bacterium. RNAcentral describes it as "partial 16S ribosomal RNA". It matches the Rfam family "Bacterial small subunit ribosomal RNA", at positions 29 to 507 of the family's 1533-position model. The record is from RNAcentral.